RNAcentral lists this ribosomal RNA (1402 nucleotides) under Klebsiella variicola. RNAcentral describes it as "bacterial SSU rRNA". It matches the Rfam family "Bacterial small subunit ribosomal RNA". Lineage: Bacteria; Pseudomonadati; Pseudomonadota; Gammaproteobacteria; Enterobacterales; Enterobacteriaceae. The record is from RNAcentral.
AGUCGAGCGGUAGCACAGAGAGCUUGCUCUCGGGUGACGAGCGGCGGACGGGUGAGUAAUGUCUGGGAAACUGCCUGAUGGAGGGGGAUAACUACUGGAAACGGUAGCUAAUACCGCAUAACGUCGCAAGACCAAAGUGGGGGACCUUCGGGCCUCAUGCCAUCAGAUGUGCCCAGAUGGGAUUAGCUGGUAGGUGGGGUAACGGCUCACCUAGGCGACGAUCCCUAGCUGGUCUGAGAGGAUGACCAGCCACACUGGAACUGAGACACGGUCCAGACUCCUACGGGAGGCAGCAGUGGGGAAUAUUGCACAAUGGGCGCAAGCCUGAUGCAGCCAUGCCGCGUGUGUGAAGAAGGCCUUCGGGUUGUAAAGCACUUUCAGCGGGGAGGAAGGCGGUGAGGUUAAUAACCUCAUCGAUUGACGUUACCCGCAGAAGAAGCACCGGCUAACUCCGUGCCAGCAGCCGCGGUAAUACGGAGGGUGCAAGCGUUAAUCGGAAUUACUGGGCGUAAAGCGCACGCAGGCGGUCUGUCAAGUCGGAUGUGAAAUCCCCGGGCUCAACCUGGGAACUGCAUUCGAAACUGGCAGGCUAGAGUCUUGUAGAGGGGGGUAGAAUUCCAGGUGUAGCGGUGAAAUGCGUAGAGAUCUGGAGGAAUACCGGUGGCGAAGGCGGCCCCCUGGACAAAGACUGACGCUCAGGUGCGAAAGCGUGGGGAGCAAACAGGAUUAGAUACCCUGGUAGUCCACGCUGUAAACGAUGUCGAUUUGGAGGUUGUGCCCUUGAGGCGUGGCUUCCGGAGCUAACGCGUUAAAUCGACCGCCUGGGGAGUACGGCCGCAAGGUUAAAACUCAAAUGAAUUGACGGGGGCCCGCACAAGCGGUGGAGCAUGUGGUUUAAUUCGAUGCAACGCGAAGAACCUUACCUGGUCUUGACAUCCACAGAACUUUCCAGAGAUGGAUUGGUGCCUUCGGGAACUGUGAGACAGGUGCUGCAUGGCUGUCGUCAGCUCGUGUUGUGAAAUGUUGGGUUAAGUCCCGCAACGAGCGCAACCCUUAUCCUUUGUUGCCAGCGGUUAGGCCGGGAACUCAAAGGAGACUGCCAGUGAUAAACUGGAGGAAGGUGGGGAUGACGUCAAGUCAUCAUGGCCCUUACGACCAGGGCUACACACGUGCUACAAUGGCAUAUACAAAGAGAAGCGACCUCGCGAGAGCAAGCGGACCUCAUAAAGUAUGUCGUAGUCCGGAUUGGAGUCUGCAACUCGACUCCAUGAAGUCGGAAUCGCUAGUAAUCGUAGAUCAGAAUGCUACGGUGAAUACGUUCCCGGGCCUUGUACACACCGCCCGUCACACCAUGGGAGUGGGUUGCAAAAGAAGUAGGUAGCUUAACCUUCGGGAGGGCGCU